GAUGAACGCUGGCGGCGUGCCUAAUACAUGCAAGUCGAGCGAACGGACGAGAAGCUUGCUUCUCUGAUGUUAGCGGCGGACGGGUGAGUAACACGUGGAUAACCUACCUAUAAGACUGGGAUAACUUCGGGAAACCGGAGCUAAUACCGGAUAAUAUUUUGAACCGCAUGGUUCAAAAGUGAAAGACGGUCUUGCUGUCACUUAUAGAUGGAUCCGCGCUGCAUUAGCUAGUUGGUAAGGUAACGGCUUACCAAGGCAACGAUGCAUAGCCGACCUGAGAGGGUGAUCGGCCACACUGGAACUGGAACACGGUCCAGACUCCUACGGGAGGCAGCAGUAGGGAAUCUUCCGCAAUGGUCGAAAGCCUGACGGAGCAACGCCGCGCGAGUGAUGAAGGUCUUCGGAUCGUAAAACUCUGUUAUUAGGGAAGAACAUAUGUGUAAGUAACUGUGCACAUCUUGACGGUACCUAAUCAGAAAGCCACGGCUAACUACGUG
RNAcentral lists this ribosomal RNA (497 nucleotides) under uncultured bacterium. Its description in RNAcentral is "partial 16S ribosomal RNA". It matches the Rfam family "Bacterial small subunit ribosomal RNA", at positions 28 to 507 of the family's 1533-position model. The record is from RNAcentral.